RNAcentral lists this ribosomal RNA (616 nucleotides) under uncultured bacterium. RNAcentral describes it as "bacterial SSU rRNA". The stretch from base 1 to 521 matches the Rfam family "Bacterial small subunit ribosomal RNA", at positions 338 to 873 of the family's 1533-position model. The record is from RNAcentral.
CCUACGGGAGGCAGCAGUGGGGAAUCUUGCGCAAUGGGCGAAAGCCUGACGCAGCAACGCCGCGUGCGGGAAGAAGGCUUUCGGGCUGUAAACCGCUUUCAGCAGGAACGAAAAUGACGGUACCUGCAGAAGAAGGAGCGGCCAACUAUGUGCCAGCAGCCGCGGUGAUACAUAGGCUUCAAGCGUUGUCCGGAUUUAUUGGGCGUAAAGAGUUCGUAGGCGGUCGAGUAAGUCGGGUGUGAAAAUUCUGGGCUCAACCCCAGAGACGCCACCCGAUACUGCUUGACUUGAGUUCGAUAGGGGGGUGGGGAAUUCCUAGUGUAGCGGUGAAAUGCGCAGAUAUUAGGAGGAACACCGGUGGCGAGGGCGCCACUCUGGAUCGAUACUGACGCUGAGGAACGAAAGCAUGGGUAGCAAACAGGAUUAGAUACCCUGGUAGUCCAUGCCGUAAACGGUGGGCACUAGGUGUGGGUUUCUAUUAACGAAAUCCGCGCCGUCGCUAACGCAUUAAGUGCCCCGCCUGGGGGAGGUACGGUCGCGAACGAACUAAACUAACAAACGGAAAGUUAGACGGCGUGAGACGUGCCGAACGGACGACCGACCGACGGGAGGUAGG